This 182-nucleotide non-coding RNA is filed under the name Clostridioides difficile. RNAcentral describes it as "6S RNA". It matches the Rfam family "6S / SsrS RNA". Rfam says of the family: E. coli 6S RNA was the first non coding RNA to be sequenced, but its function was unknown until recently. It consists of 184 nucleotides that fold into an extended hairpin structure with a large single-stranded internal bulge. The record is from RNAcentral. Lineage: Bacteria; Bacillati; Bacillota; Clostridia; Peptostreptococcales; Peptostreptococcaceae.
GAAAUCCUGAAACAUACGAUAAGGCUUUUUUAAAUUCAACCUACAAAUGAAAUACGGGAGACCGUGUCUGGUAAAUUAUAACAUGCCUAGUUAGUUUGGGACGUUAAAGGUUACUGGCAAGUCACCCACCUGGGAGUGCCUAGGGUGUGAAUUUACUUAGCCACCGGUGUUUCGGGACAAAA